AUUAUCCGAGGGCAUAUAAUGAUAUAAUAAGAAACAACCAGAUGAGGGUAGCGGAUUCAUCGACUCCGCCGAAUUUCGAUCAUAGUUAUAGGCUCCUCCGCCACAUCAGAGUUGCAGUCCUCGUACCCAUCACCCAUCUCCCCAUUCUCUUUUCCUCCCCGACCCAAUCUGUACCUUCUUGUCUCUAUAUCCAUCUCUCUCUCUCUCUCUCUCUCUCUCUCUCUCUCUCUCUCUAUAUAUAUAUAUAUAUAUAUACACCCACUUCGUCUUUCUAUGCCCUCUCUUUGUUUCCGACGGCAACACUGUUAAUCCAACACCCAAAACAUAGAGAUUUGAAGAAAGAAGAGAAAAAGAUUGAGUCCCAGCAGAGAAACAGCUAGGGAUAUUUUGUUCCCCCUUGUUUCUCGUUGUGUUUGGGAAUCUAGGGUUUUUUUUUUUUUUUUUUUGUGAAACCCUAAGAAUUAAUUGAAGAGGGAGGGAGGGAGAGAGAGAGGUUUGAUGGCGCAAAAUGGGCAGGGGAUGGACCCUGCUGUUCUUGAUGACAUUAUAAAUCGGCUUUUGGAGUUUCGGCAAGCGAGGAGUGUACGCCAGGUCCAGGUCCAGGUCCAGCUCUCCGAGGCUGAGAUCCGUCAGCUUUGCACCGUUUCGAGAGAAAUCUUCCUCCAGCAACCCAAUCUCUUAGAGCUCGAAGCCCCCAUCAAGAUCUGCGGUGAUAUUCAUGGGCAAUAUGGUGAUCUUUUGAGGCUUUUUGAAUAUGGGGGUUUUCCUCCUGAAGCUAACUACUUGUUCCUAGGGGACUAUGUGGACCGUGGCAAGCAGAGUUUGGAAACAAUAUGCCUUCUGCUUGCCUAUAAAAUUAAAUACCCUGAGAACUUCUUCCUUUUAAGGGGAAAUCAUGAAUGUGCUUCUAUUAACCGGAUAUAUGGAUUUUAUGAUGAAUGUAAGCGGCGGUUUAAUGUGAGACUCUGGAGAAUCUUUACUGAGUGUUUUAACUGUCUUCCUGUGGCUGCUCUCAUAGACGACAAAAUAUUUUGCAUGCAUGGUGGCCUUUCCCCUGAACUAACAAACUUGGAUGAGAUAAGAAACUUACCUCGUCCAACUGAUGUUCCAGACUCCGGUUUGCUCUGUGAUUUACUCUGGUCAGAUCCUAGUAGGGAGGUCAAAGGUUGGGGAAUCAAUGAUAGAGGAGUUUCGUACACCUUUGGCCCUGAUAAGGUGGCAGAAUUUUUAAUUCAGCACGAUAUGGACCUUGUUUGUCGUGCCCAUCAGGUUGUGGAGGAUGGGUAUGAGUUCUUUGCUGACAGAAUGCUUGUUACGAUAUUCUCUGCCCCAAAUUAUUGCGGUGAAUUUGAUAAUGCUGGUGCAAUGAUGAGUGUUGAUGAAAGCUUAAUGUGCUCUUUCCAGAUUUUGAAGCCAUCGGACAAAAAGCAUAGGUUCUAAUGAACAAAGAUGUGAGAACUGCAGUCUUGAUUCUGAAUUUCUAAGAAUGUCAUUGGAGGGGAUUGAGAAUGGACUCCUUGUGCCAAACGUUUUCCUGCCCAUUUGUGAGUUGGGGAGGAACACUUAAAGAUGCUGGCUCGGAUGGCGUAUUGUUGUGUUAUCCAUGUAGAAGGGCAUUAAACAUUUUGCUGAAGUAUUGUGUUUUAGGGUGAAAGUUUAGCAACCUCUUGAUUUGGCAGCAACUGUUUUCUGGGGGUGUCCACAAGUGCCGAUAGUGUUCCAUCCUUUAAUUUUUUUUUUUUAAACCAGUGCAAUUUACAGUGGCCAUCUGAUUUAUUUUCUAUUGUAAAUUGCUCUGCACUUAUAGAUUGUAGAAACCAUUUUUAAGAUUUCUUUUCUUCACAAGUUAUUGUAAUGGAUCCCCCAAUUGAUGGUUUACUUGUGAACGCAUUGAACAUAAGUUUUAAAGCUGCCUAUUUCUUUUUGUUGGGAGGUGGUGUUUCUUGGUGAGGGUUUUGUUGUACCGGAAAAUUAAAGAUGGCUUGAAUUCAUGAGA
Molecule: RNA transcript, 1996 nt
Organism: Camellia sinensis
Lineage: Eukaryota; Viridiplantae; Streptophyta; Magnoliopsida; Ericales; Theaceae
Gene name: serine/threonine-protein phosphatase PP1 isozyme 2
Source: RefSeq, a predicted model, not a curated record